UCUCCGUUGGUGAACCAGCGGAGGGAUCAUUACCGAGUGCAAACUCAUAACCCUUUGUGAACCUAUAUCUGUUGCUUCGGCGGCUCGCCCUCGGGCGAGCCCGCCGGUAAUAUCAGUAUCUCUGUUUGAACCCGACGAUACUUCUGAGUGUUCCUAGCGAACAGUUAAAACUUUUAACAACGGAUCUCUUGGCUCUA
This 197-nucleotide unclassified non-coding RNA is filed under the name plant metagenome. RNAcentral's name for it is "partial contains small subunit ribosomal RNA, internal transcribed spacer 1, and 5.8S ribosomal RNA". The record is from RNAcentral.